Molecule: unclassified non-coding RNA, 517 nt
Filed under: uncultured Glomeromycotina
Lineage: Eukaryota; Fungi; Glomeromycota
Description: SSU rRNA
Rfam family: Eukaryotic small subunit ribosomal RNA
Source: RNAcentral
CCGCGGUAAUUCCAGCUCCAAUAGCGUAUAUUAAAGUUGUUGCAGUUAAAAAGCUCGUAGUUGAAUUUCGGGAUCAAUAUGUUGGUCGUGCCUUUGGUACGUACUAGCUUAUUGAUUUCUCCCUUCUGACGAACCAUGAUGUCAUUAAUUUGGUGUCAUGGGGAAUCAGGACUGUUACUUUGAAAAAAUUAGAGUGUUUAAAGCAGGCUUACGCUUGAAUAUAUUAGCAUGGAAUAAUGAAAUAGGACGUUUUGAUUCUAUUUUGUUGGUUUCUAGGAUCGACGUAAUGAUUAAUAGGGAUAGUUGGGGGCAUUAGUAUUCAAUUGUCAGAGGUGAAAUUCUUGGAUUUAUUGAAGACUAACUACUGCGAAAGCAUUUGCCAAGGAUGUUUUCAUUAAUCAAGAACGAAAGUUAGGGGAUCGAAGACGAUCAGAUACCGUCGUAGUCUUAACCAUAAACUAUGCCGACUAGGGAUCGGAUGAUGUUAAUUUUUUAAUGACUCAUUCGGCGCCUUACG